Molecule: long non-coding RNA, 1486 nt
Organism: Lynx canadensis (Canada lynx)
Lineage: Eukaryota; Metazoa; Chordata; Mammalia; Carnivora; Felidae
Exons: 4
Source: RefSeq, a predicted model, not a curated record
CAUUUGAGGCAGCCCACAGGGAGGGGUGUCGCUGAGGAAACAGAAUCCAGGCCCCCCAGGCCUCUGACGGAAGGGGACCGGAGCAUGCUGGGAAAACACAUUCCACCUGAGGAGCACAAAAGACCCCAGGGGUGGAGGAAGCUGGCCUGAGGCCAACCGGAGGUCCGUGUGUGGUACUGGGAUUGUGGCAUGAAAACCUACAUAUGUCAGACCGUCUUCUACAGUGUUUGCAGCAAAUUCUGUCCCCCGCCCAGCAAUGCGUAAGAGCUCCCUUGCUCCAUACCCUUGCCAACACGUGCUAUCAUCGGUCGUUCUGACUGGUCACCAUUCUAACAGCGAAUUCCAUGAAGUCAAAGACGGAUUUUGUCUAAGUCAUCACUGCUCCACUCUGCCUAGGACAUGACCUUCAGGAGGUGGUUGUGGAAUGAAUAAAUAAAGAGGCAGGUGCCCUCCAGAAUCCUGCUCAGCUCUGGCCUCCUACGGUUCUUCAUCCCUGGAGCUUUGGGGCAGGCCAGCCAAUUUCUGUGCGAGACUCUGGGUCUGCAGCUAUGAACGAAUGUUUUCCCUGCCUUUAUGGAACCUAACGGGUUAUUGGUGAAUACAAUCAUUAAGGCAAGUGAAGAGAAGGGCACAGGUGUAAUUUAAGGGAAAUGGAGGUUACUGUGUGGGCAUGUAAAGGGGUGGGGAGGGAUUUCAGUUGGAAGUUUCAAGCUUCUCUAAAGAAGUGACAUGUAAGCAAAGAUCUGAGGGGACAUGGUUUUGUUUUGUUUUGUUUUGUUUUGUUAUGUUUUGUUUUUUCAGGCUAGGGGAAGAAUAUGGCCGACUCCAGGAUGGCCCCCAUGAUCCCUGCCUCCUGGUGUCUGUGCCCUUGAGGGUGGGCAGGACCAGUGACUUCCUCCAUAACUUAAGGCAAAAGCAAUGCGAUGUCCUUUCCAUUAUUAUAUUAUGUAAGACUGUAACUGAUAUCUUGGAAGCCGACCCUUUCUUUUGCUGUCUUAGCUUACGUGCGCAGAUGAGAGGGCCGUGCUGGAGAGUUCCAUGUGAUGGGGAAUUGAAAGCAGCCUCCAGCCAAUAGCCAGCCAGGAACUGAGGCUCUCAGUCCAACAGCCCAUGAGGAGCUGAAUCCUGUAAACAGCCCAGUGGGCUUGGAACUGUGCUCUUCCCUCGUUGAGCUUUCAGAUGAGACCUCAGCCCUGAGUGAGAAGUUGGUUGUAGCUUCGUGGGACACCCAAAGCAGAGGACCCAGCUGAGCCAGGCUCAGACCCUUGACCCACAGAGACUGGGAGAUAAUAAAUGUAUUUUGACCCUAAGCCACUAAGUUCAUGAUUAAUUUGUUAUACGGCAUAGCGCCCUGAUAUGAAGAGGGAACAGGAAUUUAUUCCAGGCAGACAGAACCAUAUAUGCAAAAGGGGGUAAAAUAAAGACAGUCCGAGCGCUGGAGAAGGACAAGCAUGUUGGUGUGACCACAGUGAACAUGAGAACAAGA